CCUACGGGAGGCAGCAGUGAGGAAUAUUGGUCAAUGGACGAGAGUCUGAACCAGCCAAGUAGCGUGAAGGAUGACUGCCCUAUGGGUUGUAAACUUCUUUUAUAUGGGAAUAAAAUGUUCCACGUGUGGGAUUUUGUAUGUACCAUAUGAAUAAGGAUCGGCUAACUCCGUGCCAGCAGCCGCGGUAAUACGGAGGAUCCGAGCGUUAUCCGGCUUUAUUGGGUUUAAAGGGAGCGUAGGUGGAUUGUUAAGUCAGUUGUGAAAGUUUGCGGCUCAACCGUAAAAUUGCAGUUGAAACUGGCAGUCUUGAGUACAGGAGAGGUGGGCGGAAUUCGUGGUGUAGCGGUGAAAUGCUUAGAUAUCACGAAGAACUCCGAUUGCGAAGGCAGUUCACUGGACUGCAACUGACACUGAGGCUCGAAAGUGUGGGUAUCAAACAGGAUUAGAUACCCUAGUAGUC
RNAcentral lists this ribosomal RNA (460 nucleotides) under uncultured bacterium. Its description in RNAcentral is "partial 16S ribosomal RNA". It matches the Rfam family "Bacterial small subunit ribosomal RNA", at positions 338 to 795 of the family's 1533-position model. The record is from RNAcentral.